UAGAAGAUGGAACUAGAGAUGAAGGG
This 26-nucleotide non-coding RNA is filed under the name Mus musculus (house mouse). Lineage: Eukaryota; Metazoa; Chordata; Mammalia; Rodentia; Muridae. The record is from RNAcentral.